AACGAACGUUGGCGGCGCGCCUAACACAUGCAAGUCGGACGCGAAAGGGGGCAACCCCCGGUAGCGUGGCGCACGGGUGAGUAACACGUGGGUAAUCUUCCCUCGAGCGGGGGAUAACCUUCCGAAAGGAGGGCUAAUACCGCAUAUGACCACGACCGGUACGCUGGUUGGGGUAAAAGCAGGCCUCUACAUGUAAGCUUGCACUUGAGGAUGAGCCCGCGGCCCAUCAGCUAGUUGGUGGUGUAACGGACCACCAAGGCGAAGACGGGUAGCUGGUCUGAGAGGAUGAUCAGCCACACUGGAACUGAGACACGGUCCAGACUCCUACGGGAGGCAGCAGUGGGGAAUCUUGCGCAAUGGGCGAAAGCCUGACGCAGCGACGCCGCGUGGGUGAUGAAGGCCUUCGGGUUGUAAAGCCCUGUGGGGAGGGACGAAUAAGUCGUGGCUAAUAUCCACGAUGAUGACGGUACCUCCUUAGCAAGCACCGGCUAACUCUGUGC
This 500-nucleotide ribosomal RNA is filed under the name uncultured bacterium. Its description in RNAcentral is "bacterial SSU rRNA". It matches the Rfam family "Bacterial small subunit ribosomal RNA", at positions 29 to 508 of the family's 1533-position model. The record is from RNAcentral.